This 528-nucleotide ribosomal RNA is filed under the name uncultured bacterium. RNAcentral's name for it is "bacterial SSU rRNA". It matches the Rfam family "Bacterial small subunit ribosomal RNA", at positions 777 to 1304 of the family's 1533-position model. The record is from RNAcentral.
AAUAGAUACCCCGGUAGUCCACGCCGUAAACGAUGAGUGCUAAGUGUUAGAGGGUUUCCGCCCUUUAGUGCUGCAGCUAACGCAUUAAGCACUCCGCCUGGGGAGUACGGUCGCAAGACUGAAACUCAAAGGAAUUGACGGGGGCCCGCACAAGCGGUGGAGCAUGUGGUUUAAUUCGAAGCAACGCGAAGAACCUUACCAGGUCUUGACAUCCCACUGACCGGUAUAGAGAUAUACCUUUCCCUUCGGGGACAGUGGUGACAGGUGGUGCAUGGUUGUCGUCAGCUCGUGUCGUGAGAUGUUGGGUUAAGUCCCGCAACGAGCGCAACCCUUGAUCUUAGUUGCCAGCAUUUAGUUGGGCACUCUAAGGUGACUGCCGGUGACAAACCGGAGGAAGGUGGGGAUGACGUCAAAUCAUCAUGCCCCUUAUGACCUGGGCUACACACGUGCUACAAUGGAUGGUACAAAGGGCUGCAAGACUGCGAAGUCAAGCCAAUCCCAUAAACCAUUCUCAGUUCGGAUUGCAGG